Carassius carassius (crucian carp) is the source of this 219-nucleotide long non-coding RNA. RefSeq lists it as uncharacterized. The record is from RefSeq and is a predicted model, not a curated record. NCBI's taxonomy places the organism in Eukaryota, Metazoa, Chordata, Actinopteri, Cypriniformes, Cyprinidae. The transcript has 2 exons.
UGUGUGUGUGUCUGUGUGUGUGUGUGUGUUCGGACGGAGAGGAGUGUGUGUGUGUGUUCGGACGGAAGAGGGCAGGAGAAUUCAAUGCGUUAUGCACUGUUAGCAUGCUUCAGUUUUAUUUGCAUUUUAUUUUUUCCAUUGUAAGUGUAAUUUUGACCAUGUACAGUUCAAUUUGUAAACUUGCAUCAAGUUUAUGAAUAAAGAAUUUUAAGAAAUGCA